GUAUAUUGUGUAAAAAAUGGCUUUAAAUAAACAAUUAUUUUUAAAAGAAAAAAUCGUUAUUACAUUAUUUGGUAUUUUAACAGUUUUUGUAUCAAUUAAUGGGCUUCCGGUUAAUUCACAAGAUCAAGCAAUGAUAUAUUUGUCACAAUUUGGUUACUUAAAUCCAGCUCUUAGAAAUCCUAGUUCCGGAAGUAUAUUAAGCGAAGAAUCAUGGACAAAAGCAAUUGCUGAGUUCCAAUCAUUUGCUGGCCUAAAUGUCACAGGUGAACUUGAUGAAGAAACAAGAAAAAUAAUGAGUCUACCUCGAUGUGGUGUGAAAGAUCGUGUAGGCUAUGGCACUGAUUCCCGAUCGAAACGAUAUGCCUUACAAGGAAGUAGAUGGAAGGUAAAAAAUUUAACUUAUAAAAUUAGUAAAUAUCCAAGAAAAUUACAACGUGGUGAAGUUGAUAAAGAAUUAUCACGAGCAUUUGCUGUAUGGUCUGAAUAUACAGAUUUAACAUUCACACAAAAGAAAGCAGGACAAGUUCAUAUUGAAAUACGUUUUGAGCGUGGAGAACAUGGUGACGGUGAUGCUUUUGAUGGUCCAGGUGGUACAUUAGCACAUGCAUAUUUCCCAGUAUAUGGCGGUGAUGCACAUUUCGAUGAUUCUGAAUAUUGGACGAUUAAUUCAUACCGUGGUACAAAUUUAUUCCAAGUAGCUGCUCAUGAAUUUGGACAUUCGCUUGGUCUUUCACAUUCCGAUAUUAAAUCAGCUUUAAUGGCUCCAUUUUACAGAGGGUACGAUCCAGCUUUUAGUUUGGACGACGACGAUAUUUCCGGAAUACAGGCUUUAUAUGGUAAGAAGUCUAGAAAAAAUAUCAAACCACCGGUAAGCAAUGACGAAGAUGAUGACGACGAUUUUAAUUCAAGUGGCACAAAUACAAACCGUAAAACAACUGAAUCACCAAAUAUUCAAGAUCCUAUCUUAUGUAGUGAUCCUAAAAUCGAUACAAUGUUUAAUUCAGCCGAAGGAGUCACAUACGCUUUUAAAGGCGAUUAUUAUUGGAAAUUAACAACUGAUUCAGUUGCUAAAGGCUAUCCAAAAUUAAUAUCAAAGAGUUGGCCAGGUUUACCAGGAAAUAUUGAUGCAGCCUUCACGUACAAAAAUGGUAAAACAUACUUCUUCAAAGGCUCACAAUAUUGGAGAUAUACUGGUAAACGAAUUGAUGGUGAUUAUCCAAAAGAUAUCUCUGAAGGAUUCACUGGUAUCCCAGACAAUUUGGAUGCAGCAUUAGUUUGGAGUGGUAAUGGAAAAAUUUACUUUUAUAAAGGUAGUAAAUUUUGGCGAUUUGAUCCUUCACAACGUCCACCAGUUAAAAGUACAUAUCCCAAACCAUUAUCAAACUGGGAAGGUAUUCCUGAUAACAUCGACGCUGCAUUACAUUAUACAAAUGGAUACACAUAUUUCUUCAAAGGAGGCGCUUACUACAGAUUUAACGAUCGUAUGUUUGCUGUUGAUCCAGCUGAUCCAGCUUUCCCACGUUCAACGGCAUAUUGGUGGUUUGGAUGCAAGAACGCAAAUCGGGGUACUAUUGGUAAAUCACUUUUAAUUAAUCCAUAUGAAAACAAUGAAUACAAUGAAGACGGAAGUCAUAGUGAUGUCAGUGAUAUUAUAUUAGAUGCAGGAGACUCCUCACCUAAAUGAGGAUCAUUAAAAGAUUUACAGGACUCUACAUCCGACAACGUACCUACCUAUACAAACGUUCCUAUUUUUAUUAAUCAUUAAUUAUCCUACGCCAUUAAUAUUGGAAGACCUAAGGACUGAUUUUAUUAUCGAAUAUAUAGGAAUUGAUGUUCAGACUUUUUUUAACUCGUUCCACGAUUCUGAAGAUUUAAGGCACUGAGUAUUAUGGCACUCAUCAUAAAUUUUCCUCAUCUGGCCGCCAUUUUGUGUGACAAAACUGGACCAAAUGAUUUGCCACCCGCACCAUCACCAACACAGCCGCCACAAUUUGAUGAAAGGAAUGUUCCUGGAAGUAGCGGAUACAGACUUAUGCCAUCCAUUGGAUUCAUUACGGUUCUAGCUACA
This is an RNA transcript of Chrysoperla carnea, 2068 nucleotides long. It is a transcript of the gene named matrix metalloproteinase-19, with no coding region annotated. The transcript has 9 exons. Lineage: Eukaryota; Metazoa; Arthropoda; Insecta; Neuroptera; Chrysopidae. The record is from RefSeq and is a predicted model, not a curated record.